UCUACGGGAGGCAGCAGUGGGGAAUAUUGCACAAUGGGGGAAACCCUGAUGCAGCGACGCCGCGUGAGUGAAGAAGUAUUUCGGUAUGUAAAGUUCUAUCAGCAGGGAAGAAAGUGACGGUACCUGACUACGAACCCCCGGCUAACUCCGUGCCCGCAGCAGCGGUAAUCCGUAGGGGGCAAGCGUUAUCCGGAUUUACUGGGUGUAAAGGGAGCGUAGGCGGCAGUGCAAGUCAGAAGUGAAAUCCCAGGGCUUAACCCUGGGACUGCUUUGGAAACUGUGAGGCUAGAUUGCAGGAGAGGUAAGCGGAAUUCCUAGUGUAGCGGUGAAAUGCGUAGAUAUUAGGAGGAACACCAGUGGCGAAGGCGGCUUGCUGGACUGUAACUGACGUUGAGGCUCGAAAGCGUAGGGAGCAAACAGGAUUAGAUACCCGAGUAGUC
Molecule: ribosomal RNA, 440 nt
Filed under: uncultured bacterium
Lineage: Bacteria
Description: partial 16S ribosomal RNA
Rfam family: Bacterial small subunit ribosomal RNA
Source: RNAcentral